GUCAAAACAAAGACGGCCAUUAGGAGGAACUUCCAGCGUGAAGGAGGAAUAGCGUCGCAACAAGAGUCCCACUUCCUGAAUAAAUAAGUGCUGGGAAAAUCCACCAUCUGAGCCGACUUCUUCCAUGCCGUUCCACAUCUGUAACAUCUGCUCUGAACCUCUUUCAUGUGAGGGUGAAACUCUUUUAUUUUGCAAACCUCUAAAACCCAACCCAAUGUUUCUUAAAGAAUUCUGCUCUGAACCUCUCAUGCCCAAAGUUACAGUGUGUUGAUAGUUGUUAUUGGACAGUGUUGAUGAGCACGCUGUGUUCUUGAAAUAAAGCUUUGGUUUUUACAAUAUUCUA
Molecule: long non-coding RNA, 343 nt
Organism: Pseudoliparis swirei
Lineage: Eukaryota; Metazoa; Chordata; Actinopteri; Perciformes; Liparidae
Exons: 2
Source: RefSeq, a predicted model, not a curated record